CGGGCGGCAUCCGGAUUCGGAGCUGCACCUGAUAGGCGAGCGGAUCAUAGCUUUAGCUUUACGAACCCAAUAAUUUUUUACGCAACAUAUGAUAUCGGAUUCUGCUCUGAGCCCUAAGGGACCGAGACAGAAGG
Molecule: non-coding RNA, 134 nt
Organism: Paenibacillus sp.
Lineage: Bacteria; Bacillati; Bacillota; Bacilli; Caryophanales; Paenibacillaceae
Source: Rfam